This 253-nucleotide ribosomal RNA is filed under the name uncultured bacterium. Its description in RNAcentral is "partial 16S ribosomal RNA". It matches the Rfam family "Bacterial small subunit ribosomal RNA", at positions 524 to 776 of the family's 1533-position model. The record is from RNAcentral.
UACGAAGGGUGCAAGCGUUACUCGGAAUUACUGGGCGUAAAGCGUGCGUAGGUGGUUUGUUAAGUCUGUUGUGAAAGCCCCGGGCUCACCCUGGGAAUGGCAAUGGAUACUGGCAAGCUAGAGUGCGGUAGAGGGUAGUGGAAUUCCCGGUGUAGCGGUGAAAUGCGUAGAGAUCGGGAGGAACAUCAGUGGCGAAGGCGGUCUUCUGGACCAGUACUGACGCUGAGGCACGAAAGCGUGGGGAGCAAACAGG